AACGAACGCUGGCGGCAUGCCUAACACAUGCAAGUCGAACGAGACCUUCGGGUCUAGUGGCGCACGGGUGCGUAACGCGUGGGAACCUGCCCGUAGGUUCGGAAUAACUCCCCGAAAGGGGUGCUAAUACCGGAUAAUGUCUUCGGACCAAAGAUUUAUCGCCUUUGGAUGGGCCCGCGUUGGAUUAGCUAGUUGGUAGGGUAAAAGCCUACCAAGGCGACGAUCCAUAGCUGGUCUGAGAGGAUGAUCAGCCACACUGGGACUGAGACACGGGCCAGACUCCUACGGGAGGCAGCAGUGGGGAAUAUUGGACAAUGGGCGAAAGCCUGAUCCAGCAAUGCCGCGUGAGUGAUGAAGGCCUUAGGGUUGUAAAGCUCUUUUACCCGGGAUGAUAAUGACAGUACCGGGAGAAUAAGCACCGGCUAACUCCGUG
Molecule: ribosomal RNA, 433 nt
Filed under: uncultured bacterium
Lineage: Bacteria
Description: partial 16S ribosomal RNA
Rfam family: Bacterial small subunit ribosomal RNA
Source: RNAcentral